Molecule: ribosomal RNA, 584 nt
Filed under: Streptomycetaceae bacterium Ri1Ps_4628
Lineage: Bacteria; Bacillati; Actinomycetota; Actinomycetes; Kitasatosporales; Streptomycetaceae
Description: bacterial SSU rRNA
Rfam family: Bacterial small subunit ribosomal RNA
Source: RNAcentral
GCGACGCCGCGUGAGGGAUGACGGCCUUCGGGUUGUAAACCUCUUUCGGCAGGGAAGAAGCGAGAGUGACGGUUCCUGCAUAAUAAGCGCCGGCUAACUACGUGCCAGCAGCCGCGGUAAUACGUAGGGCGCAAGCGUUGUCCGGAAUUAUUGGGCGUAAAGAGCUCGUACGCGGCUUGUUGCGUCGGUUGUGAAAGCCCGGGGCUUAACCCCGGGUCUGCAGUCUAUACGGGCAGGCGAGAGUGUGGUAGGGGAGAUCGGAAUUCCUGGUGUAGCGGUGAAAUGCGCAGAUUUCAGGAGGAACACCGGUGGCGAAGGCGGAUCUCUGGGCCAUUACUGACGCUGAGGAGCGAAAGCGUGGGGAGCGAACAGGAUUAGAUACCCUGGUAGUCCACGCCGUAAACGUUGGGAACUAGGUGUUGGCGACAUUCCACGUCGUCGGUGCCGCAUCUAACGCAUUAAGUUCCCCGCCUGGGGAGUACGGCCGCAAGGCUAAAACUCAAAGGAAUUGACGGGGGCCCGCACAAGCAGCGGAGCAUGUGGCUUAAUUCAACACAACGCGAAGAACCUUACCAAGGCUUGAC